This 253-nucleotide ribosomal RNA is filed under the name uncultured bacterium. Its description in RNAcentral is "partial 16S ribosomal RNA". It matches the Rfam family "Bacterial small subunit ribosomal RNA", at positions 524 to 776 of the family's 1533-position model. The record is from RNAcentral.
UACGUAGGGGGCUAGCGUUGUCCGGAAUCAUUGGGCGUAAAGCGCGCGUAGGCGGCCCGGUAAGUCCGCUCUGAAAGUCCAGGGCUCAACCCUGGAAAGCGGGUGGAUACUGCCGGGCUAGAAUCCGGAAGAGGCGAGUGGAAUUCCUGGUGUAGCGGUGGAAUGCGCAGAUAUCAGGAGGAACACCGGUGGCGAAGGCGGGUCUCUGGGCAACAACUGACGCUGAGGAGCGAAAGCGUGGGGAGCAAACAGG